RNAcentral lists this long non-coding RNA (1561 nucleotides) under Canis lupus familiaris (dog). RNAcentral describes it as "lncRNA (ENSCAFG00845021509.1)". Lineage: Eukaryota; Metazoa; Chordata; Mammalia; Carnivora; Canidae. The record is from RNAcentral.
AUUCCGAGGACCUGCAGGCCCACAGGAGGAAGCCAGGAGGGCGCUAGUGUCUGCGUGGGGGUCAGGGCCUUCGGGAGCCCCUGCUCGGACUUCCCUGGCCCUCGGUCAGGCAGCAGGAGCCCGGGGCCUGGCUCAAGCGGGUGUGCGGCCGAGGGAGCUCCCUGGGGUGGCCCGGGGUCUGGGGUCCUGGACAGCCCCAAUCCCUGGCCCCGGAGGCUCCCCGAGCUCAGUGUCUGCAGCAGUCCUGGUGUGUGGGGGGGCGGGCGGGACGAGAGGGGGUGGGCGUGGGGUACCUGCCGCUCUCUCGGGGGCAGGGCGGGGGGCUCUCACGCGGCCCUCUGACAGGUGUGCACGCAAGUGUGUGCCCGUGUGUGCCCUGGUCUUGGGGCGGCUCUGCGGCAAGGCCAGGGAGGAGGGGGAUAGGAAGGGAAGCUGGGGAGGCAGAGAGGAGCUGGUGGGGGUCCCCCCGAAGGGCCCUUGGGGACUCCCAGGGGAGGGUUGGGGGCAGGGAGAGCGUCUCUGGGCUGAGGGGCCUGGUGAUCCCGGGUGGGUCUGCCCUGCUGGGCUCUGGCUCACACUUUCCCUGGAGGAGGCUGGUCUGUCUGGUUCCUGCAGCAUUCCACAGUGACUCUGCAUCUCCUUCUGGAAACUUCUCUCGUUCUUCUCCCUGAGGACUUCCUCCUAGCCCUCCCCUCCCCCUCUGCUCAGCCCUUUCCCAGUGUCCCUGAGAACCAGGACUCAGCCGGGGCUGCCCAGCCCUUGCCCUUCCCUGGACACCAAGGGGGAGCCCAGAACACAGGGUCCUCCCUGCUGCUCAGGGGUGCUGACGUCAGCAGAUGGAGGUGGCCUCCCUGGAAAGAUGUGGCUCCCAGGGCUCAGGACCCCAGGUGGGAGAGACGUAUCCACCCGGACUGGACAUCCGCACUGAGGAAGCCUCUGGAGGGCUGCCGGGAGAGGCUGGCAAGCUUGGCCUUGGCCACAGGGGUGGUCAGCUAUCUGGCAGCGGCUCCUUGGUGCUGGGUACUGAGAGGUCACCUUUCAUGUGAAAUCAGGAAGAGGCUGGAAGACUUAGAAGCCGGUAGUCAGGUUCCCUCCUUCCCAUGUCAGGCCUACAGGGCGGCACACGGGGCUUCCUCUUGCCCGGGGCACAGCAGAGCAUUUCCGUUUUAUAGAUAGAGUCUGAGCAGAUUAACCCCAGGGGUGGUAAGAUGUGUCUGAGCUGGGGGUUUCCUGUCAGCAGGCACUUCUUUUGCUUUGCCCUGGCUCUGUCAUGGGAUACUUAAGGCUGCUUGGUGUUAAAACCAUUACAGUAUCCGGUAUCCAUCCAUCCAUGCACCCACCCACCCACCAUCCAUUCACCCAUCCAUCCAUCCACCCACCUACCCACCCACCACCAUUCAUCCAUCUACCUACCCACCCACUGUCAAUCCUCCAUCCAUCCAUUUGUUUACCCCCGACCCACUCAUCCAUCCAUUCAUCCAUCCAUCCACUUAUCUAUCCAACCAUCUGACUACCCACCCAUCAUCCAUUCACCCAUCCAUCCAUCCACUCACCUACCCAC